GGGCAACCUGCCUGUAAGACUGGGAUAACACCGGGAAACCGGUGCUAAUACCGCAUAAUUCUUUUCCUCUCAUGAGGAAAAGCUGAAAGUCGGUUUCGGCUGACACUUACAGAUGGGCCCGCGGCGCAUUAGCUAGUUGGUGAGGUAACGGCUCACCAAGGCGACGAUGCGUAGCCGACCUGAGAGGGUGAUCGGCCACACUGGGACUGAGACACGGCCCAGACUCCUACGGGAGGCAGCAGUAGGGAAUCUUCCGCAAUGGACGAAAGUCUGACGGAGCAACGCCGCGUGAGUGAUGAAGGCCUUCGGGUCGUAAAACUCUGUUGUUAGGGAAGAACAAGUACCGGAGUAACUGCCGGUACCUUGACGGUACCUAACCAGAAAGCCACGGCUAACUACGUGCCAGCAGCCGCGGUAAUACGUAGGUGGCAAGCGUUGUCCGGAAUCAUUGGGCGUAAAGCGCGCGCAGGCGGUCCUUUAAGUCUGAUGUGAAAGCCCACGGCUCAACCGUGGAGGGUCAUUGGAAACUGGGGGACUUGAGUGCAGAAGAGGAAAGCGGAAUUCCACGUGUAGCGGUGAAAUGCGUAGAGAUGUGGAGGAACACCAGUGGCGAAGGCGGCUUUCUGGUCUGUAACUGACGCUGAGGCGCGAAAGCGUGGGGAGCGAACAGGAUUAGAUACCCUGGUAGUCCACGCCGUAAAC
This 702-nucleotide ribosomal RNA is filed under the name uncultured bacterium. Its description in RNAcentral is "bacterial SSU rRNA". It matches the Rfam family "Bacterial small subunit ribosomal RNA", at positions 119 to 807 of the family's 1533-position model. The record is from RNAcentral.